AUUGAACGCUGGCGGCAUGCCUUACACAUGCAAGUCGAACGGCAGCACGGGUGCUUGCACCUGGUGGCGAGUGGCGAACGGGUGAGUAAUACAUCGGAACAUGUCCUUUAGUGGGGGAUAGCCCGGCGAAAGCCGGAUUAAUACCGCAUACGAUCUACGGAUGAAAGCGGGGGACCUUCGGGCCUCGCGCUAUAGGGUUGGCCGAUGGCUGAUUAGCUAGUUGGUGGGGUAAAGGCCUACCAAGGCGACGAUCAGUAGCUGGUCUGAGAGGACGACCAGCCACACUGGGACUGAGACACGGCCCAGACUCCUACGGGAGGCAGCAGUGGGGAAUUUUGGACAAUGGGCGAAAGCCUGAUCCAGCAAUGCCGCGUGUGAGAAGAAGGCCUUCGGGUUGUAAAGCACUUUUGUCCGGAAAGAAAUCCUUGGCUCUAAUACAGUCGGGGGAUGACGGUACCGGAAGAAUAAGCACCGGCUAACUACGUG
This 486-nucleotide ribosomal RNA is filed under the name uncultured bacterium. RNAcentral describes it as "partial 16S ribosomal RNA". It matches the Rfam family "Bacterial small subunit ribosomal RNA", at positions 30 to 507 of the family's 1533-position model. The record is from RNAcentral.